AGCUCCCCGAGUGGUAGGGACAAUUAUUGGGCUUAAAGCGUCCGUAGCCGGCUUAGCAAGUCCUCCGUUAAAUCCAGCGGCUUAACCGCUGGGCCGCGGAGGAUACUGUUAUAGCUUGGGGACGGGAGAGGCUAAUGGUAUUCUCGGGGUAGGGGUGAAAUCCUAUAAUCCCGGGAGGACCACCAGUGGCGAAGGCGAUUAGCUAGAACGCGCUCGACGGUGAUGGACGAAAGCUGGGGGAGCGAACCGGAUUAGAUACCCGAGUAGUCC
This 270-nucleotide ribosomal RNA is filed under the name uncultured archaeon. Its description in RNAcentral is "partial 16S ribosomal RNA". It matches the Rfam family "Archaeal small subunit ribosomal RNA", at positions 478 to 747 of the family's 1478-position model. The record is from RNAcentral.